Molecule: ribosomal RNA, 112 nt
Filed under: Pseudomonas serbiensis
Lineage: Bacteria; Pseudomonadati; Pseudomonadota; Gammaproteobacteria; Pseudomonadales; Pseudomonadaceae
Description: partial 16S ribosomal RNA
Rfam family: Bacterial small subunit ribosomal RNA
Source: RNAcentral
AGAAGUAGCUAGUCUAACCUUCGGGGGGACGGUUACCACGGUGUGAUUCAUGACUGGGGUGAAGUCGUAACAAGGUAGCCGUAGGGGAACCUGCGGCUGGAUCACCUCCUUA